RNAcentral lists this ribosomal RNA (468 nucleotides) under uncultured bacterium. RNAcentral describes it as "partial 16S ribosomal RNA". It matches the Rfam family "Bacterial small subunit ribosomal RNA", at positions 28 to 507 of the family's 1533-position model. The record is from RNAcentral.
GACGAACGCUGGCGGCGUGCUUAACACAUGCAAGUCGAACGGAAAGGCCCUGCUUUUGUGGGGCGCUCGAGUGGCGAACGGGUGAGUAACACGUGAGUAACCUGCCCUUGACUUUGGGAUAACUUCAGGAAACUGGGGCUAAUACCGGAUAUGAGCUCCUGCUGCAUGGUGGGGGUUGGAAAGUUUCGGCGGUUGGGGAUGGACUCGCGGCUUAUCAGCUUGUUGGUGGGGUAGUGGCUUACCAAGGCUUUGACGGGUAGCCGGCCUGAGAGGGUGACCGGCCACAUUGGGACUGAGAUACGGCCCAGACUCCUACGGGAGGCAGCAGUGGGGAAUAUUGCACAAUGGGCGGAAGCCUGAUGCAGCAACGCCGCGUGCGGGAUGACGGCCUUCGGGUUGUAAACCGCUUUCGCCUGUGACGAAGCGUGAGUGACGGUAAUGGGUAAAGAAGCACCGGCUAACUACGUG